This 440-nucleotide ribosomal RNA is filed under the name uncultured bacterium. Its description in RNAcentral is "bacterial SSU rRNA". It matches the Rfam family "Bacterial small subunit ribosomal RNA", at positions 340 to 773 of the family's 1533-position model. The record is from RNAcentral.
UACGGAAGGCAGCAGUGGGGAAUAUUGCACAAUGGGCGCAAGCCUGAUGCAGCCAUGCCGCGUGUAUGAAGAAGGCCUUCGGGUUGUAAAGUACUUUCAGUCGUGAGGAAGGUGUUAAGGUUAAUAACCUUAGCAAUUGACGUUAGCGACAGAAGAAGCACCGGCUAACUCCGUGCCAGCAGCCGCGGUAAUACGGAGGGUGCGAGCGUUAAUCGGAAUUACUGGGCGUAAAGGGCACGCAGGCGGUUAAUUAAGUUGGAUGUGAAAUCCCCGGGCUUAACCUGGGAAUGGCAUUCAAGACUGGUUAGCUAGAGUCUUGUAGAGGGGGGUAGAAUUCCAUGUGUAGCGGUGAAAUGCGUAGAGAUGUGGAGGAAUACCGGUGGCGAAGGCGGCCCCUGGACAAAGGCUGACGCUCAUGUGCGAAAGCGUGGGGAGCAAAC